GCCAGGCAUGGUGGUGCAUACCUGUAAUCCCAGCAGCUCAGGAGGAUGAGGCAGGAGGAUUGCGAGUUCAAACCAGCCUCAACAAUGGCGAGAUGCUAAGCAACUGAGUGAGACCCUGUCUCUA
RNAcentral lists this small RNA (124 nucleotides) under Marmota monax (woodchuck). Lineage: Eukaryota; Metazoa; Chordata; Mammalia; Rodentia; Sciuridae. The record is from RNAcentral.